GUGCUCGCUUUGACAGCACAUAUAUUAAAACUGUAAAGAUACAGAGAAUAUUAGCAUUGCCCCAGUGCAAGGAUGACACACAUAUCUGUGAAAUGUUCUAUAUUUUU
This is a small nuclear RNA of Trichechus manatus latirostris (Florida manatee), 107 nucleotides long. Lineage: Eukaryota; Metazoa; Chordata; Mammalia; Sirenia; Trichechidae. The record is from RefSeq and is a predicted model, not a curated record.